AACGGGAUUUAGUAGACAGAAACCUGGUGGAAGAUUACUAAUGAGAGUGGCGAACGGGUGAGUAACGCGUGAGCAACCUGCCUAUGACAGUGGGAUAGCCUCGGGAAACCGGGAUUAAUACCGCAUAAAAUCGUAGAAACACAUGUUUUAACGGUCAAAGAUUUAUCGGUCAUAGAUGGGCUCGCGUCUGAUUAGCUAGUUGGUGAGAUAACAGCCCACCAAGGCGACGAUCAGUAGCCGGUCUGAGAGGAUGAACGGCCACAUUGGAACUGAGACACGGUCCAAACUCCUACGGGAGGCAGCAGUGGGGAAUAUUGCACAAUGGGGGAAACCCUGAUGCAGCGACGCCGCGUGAACGAAGAAGGUAUUCGUAUCGUAAAGUUCUGUCCUAUGGGAAGAUAAUGACAGUACCAUAGAAGAAAGCUCCGGCUAAAUACGUGCCAGCAGCCGCGGUAAUACGUAUGGAGCGAGCGUUGUCCGGAAUUAUUGGGCGUAAAGGGUACGCAGGCGGUUUAAUAAGUCGAAUGUUAAAGAUCGGGGCUCAACCCCGUAAAGCAUUGGAAACUGAUAAACUUGAGUAGUGGAGAGGAAAGUGGAAUUCCUAGUGUAGUGGUGAAAUACGUAGAUAUUAGGAGGAAUACCAGUAGCGAAGGCGACUUUCUGGACACAAACUGACGCUGAGGUACGAAAGCGUGGGGAGCAAACAGGAUUAGAUACCCUGGU
Molecule: ribosomal RNA, 723 nt
Filed under: uncultured Finegoldia sp.
Lineage: Bacteria; Bacillati; Bacillota; Tissierellia; Tissierellales; Peptoniphilaceae
Description: bacterial SSU rRNA
Rfam family: Bacterial small subunit ribosomal RNA
Source: RNAcentral